UACGACUACAUAUCAGGCAUAUCAAUAAGCGGAGGAAAAGAAACUAACUAGGAUUCCCUCAGUAACGGCGAGUGAAGCGGGAAGAGCUCAAAUUUGAAAUCUUCAAGGUUUUACCUUGACGAAUUGUAGUUUAAAGAAGUGUUUUCUGUUGGUGUUUUGGUAAAAGUUCUUUGGAAUAGGACAUCAUAGAGGGUGAGAAUCCCGUAUUUGACCGUUAUUUUCCAGCUGUGUGAUACACUUUCAAAGAGUCGGAUUGUUUGGGAAUGCAGUCCAAAAUGGGUGGUAAAUUUCAUCUAAAGCUAAAUAUUGGCGAGAGACCGAUAGCGAACAAGUACCGUGAGGGAAAGAUGAAAAGAACUUUGAAAAGAGAGUUAAACAGUACGUGAAAUUGUCAAAAGGGAAGCGUUUGACACCAGUGUUGUUUAGUUGAAAAUCAAUUAAAUAGUUUUCGAUUUUAAGUAGUAUUGACCUUAUCAGCUUGCUGCUUUCUUCUCGGAAAUUAUUUAAUGCACUUUUCAGUUAACAAGGUCAACAUCAAUUUCUUUUGUUGUAAAAAGGGUAAGAGGAAGGUGGCUUUCACUUCGGGCUGCAAAGUGUUUUAUAGCCUUUUAGGCUUCUGCAAUCGGAGAGAUUGAGGUCUGCAGGCGUAGAUCCUUCGGGGUUAGAUACAGUUAGAUGCUAAGCUUAUAGCCUUUUUCAUAGACAACUUGUUGACUAUGCUUCAGUCAUGUAGCUUACUCGCUUAUGCUUAUUUUACCUACGCUUAGGAUGUUGACGCGCGUGUGUGCGUG
This 791-nucleotide ribosomal RNA is filed under the name uncultured Neocallimastigales. RNAcentral describes it as "partial large subunit ribosomal RNA". It matches the Rfam family "Eukaryotic large subunit ribosomal RNA", at positions 24 to 639 of the family's 3401-position model. The record is from RNAcentral. Lineage: Eukaryota; Fungi; Neocallimastigomycota; Neocallimastigomycetes; Neocallimastigales.